AUUGAACGCUGGCGGCAUGCUUUACACAUGCAAGUCGGGCGAGCGGCGAACGGGUGAGUAACAUCUCGGAACGUACCUAGUAAUGGGGGAUAACUAAUCGAAAGAUUAGCUAAUACCGCAUAUUAUUCGAGCUGCCGAUCUCUGAUUAGCUGGUUGGUGGGGUAAAGGCUCACCAAGGCGACGAUCCGUAGCGGGUCUGAGAGGAUGAUCAGCCACACGGGGAAUGAGACACGGUCCAGACUCCGACGGGAGGCAGCAGUGGGGAAUUUUGGACAAUGGGCGCAAGCCUGAUCCAGCCAUGCCGCGUGUCUGAAGAAGGCCUUCGGGUUGUAAAGGACUUUUGUCAGGGAAGCGGUACCUGAAGAAUAAGCACCGGCUAACUACGUGCCAGCAGCCGCGGUAAUAC
Molecule: ribosomal RNA, 406 nt
Filed under: uncultured bacterium
Lineage: Bacteria
Description: partial 16S ribosomal RNA
Rfam family: Bacterial small subunit ribosomal RNA
Source: RNAcentral